AUCUGGGGAAAAAAACCAAAAACAGCAAACAUACCAUACGACACACAAACCAGAGACAAUGGCAGGAGAGUGUCCUGUACAGAAAGAUGUGGCUGUCCAUAAAGACUUAGAACUGAAAACGGCCACAGCAUUUACUUUGUGCUUCUUGGCAGUUUUGGCAGAGCCAGUGUCGAUGUCACUCUUGGUUGUGACACCUACUUCUGGUCCUGCAAAAAGCCCUAGAAGGGAUGGAGGUUUAUUCUGACUUGAGUAGACUGUUUGGAGGUCAAAAACAAAACAAAAAACCCUCCCCUCAUACUUCUGACAACUUAAACUCUUUGCCCCAGUGAGAUCCCAAAUUACAUGCACAGGGUGUCCCACAUGCCUCUGGUGAUACCCAAGAAGAACUUGAAGAACCAUCCCUUAUAACUUGAUGAAGACUCCUAAAAGCCCUGAUUCAGAUGUAUUCAUCACUCAUUGAACAACUAUGGAUGGCUGGGGGCACAACUAGAUGGACGUACGUUACAUUGUGCCUCAUGCCUCACAGAUCCCAGCACGUGGACUGUGUACAGGGCAUUUCUGCUGAAGCGCUAUGUCUGAUUUUCUGCAUACGGCCCCAUUCCUUUUCCACAAGAGAUGCCUGUACCAACCCAUGGUGGGGGAAAGGACAAAGAUGAGAUCCUGAGCAACUUGAGGAAUAUGGUAAUGGCAGCAGACACAUUCCCCUUGCAUCACAAUGGUCUGUGGUACCGCCUCUGCACCUUGGCCCAAGACCUAACAGCCACAAAAUAAGGGUAAGGCAUGCAGAAUCGUCCAGUUAACGGAGGAGGUCCCCAGGAUCCAGACUGCCCUGCAGAACAGAAGUGACAGCUACAUCCAUAUGCCAGACAAGAGAACCAAUACCAAAAGCAGCUGUAACCCAGAGAAGAAGGUGUCAGCACCUGCCACCUUCUCUGCCACCAGGAUCCAAGAGAAUAGCAUCAGUACCUGAAAACUCUGUCCGUGCCACUGGAUACCACCUACAGCUUGGGGUAGUAGAUACAAGAGGUUAACCUACUGCCACCACACAUCACUGCCCACGUCUGUGGAAGAAAAUGGCAAGGGUCCUGUCCUAGAGGGUUAACAGAAGUAAUUACAGAUUAAUGAAGUAGCAUUCUCCAGACAGGCAGCCAUCGAUGUCCAGGUUCACCCUGCAUCCCUCCUCUACAGCGACUCCAGAUGCUCUGCUUUUGCUAUAUUAAGAACACAAAAAAAUGAGUGGGAAUACACGGCUCAUAUUCUGCUCAUGGAAUCACAGCCACUCCUGGCAAAAUAUUCUGCAGCCAGACCCUCACUGUGCCUCCUCUGCUCUUCUCCCUGAGAAAGGAGUCUUCCCUCUUGAAGUGUUGUCAAAGGCCUCGGAGACCUCUGGGCAGUGGAGGAUGCCUGGAAUCUUGCAGGGGAAGGAGAGUCUUCUGUGAAGAAUGAGUUACUUGUGGUGAAUGUCUACAAAGCUCAGAUGUGUUCAUCUUAAUUCAUAGGGAAUUCUGACUUUAAGCAUACUACAGGACACAGAGUCAUUAUGUGCAAUGGAAAAAAAGAGGGAGAAAUUCACAUAACAGAUUUCAUGCAAGUGUUUUGGUAUAAAACUGGUAUGUGUCAUGAGACUAUAUCAGCUCUAACAGUGACUGGGGACACAACCAGAAACUGCUCAUAGAAACACAAUUGAAGGACACAGUGUUCAAAUUGUUUUUACCUAAGGUAUAGCUGGAGGAUUCCAGACAAGUCAUUUACCAACAAAGACAGAAAGGUGAUGAGUGAUGACAUUGGCUUUCUCUAUGACCACUCUAAAUGGCACAGGGCACAUAAUAAAAAGUUGGAGUCAUGA
Felis catus (domestic cat) is the source of this 1846-nucleotide long non-coding RNA. RefSeq lists it as uncharacterized. The transcript is spliced from 2 exons. The record is from RefSeq and is a predicted model, not a curated record. Lineage: Eukaryota; Metazoa; Chordata; Mammalia; Carnivora; Felidae.